This 263-nucleotide long non-coding RNA is filed under the name Olea europaea subsp. europaea. The record is from RNAcentral. Lineage: Eukaryota; Viridiplantae; Streptophyta; Magnoliopsida; Lamiales; Oleaceae.
GCCGGGCUUAGUAACGUAGGCCUAUAACCCAAGUGGGGGCAUUAAAGUUAUCGAAUAGGUUGUUGAAAAAAAAAACUAAAAAACGAAAACUAAAAAAAAAAAUUUCCACGUUUCCACACAGAAAAGACAAAAAAUUAAAAAUCACAACAACCUAGACGAUACCUUUUAUUGUUUUUCUUUUUUCCCUAUAAGCUACCGUUUAAUUAUUAUUUGAGAUAACCAUUGUCUUACUUCUUUGCAUUUCAAUAUUAGGUAAAGCUAAA